RNAcentral lists this ribosomal RNA (495 nucleotides) under uncultured bacterium. RNAcentral describes it as "partial 16S ribosomal RNA". It matches the Rfam family "Bacterial small subunit ribosomal RNA", at positions 28 to 507 of the family's 1533-position model. The record is from RNAcentral.
GAUGAACGCUGGCGGCGUGCCUAAUACAUGCAAGUAGAACGCUGAAGGAGGAGCUUGCUCUUCUGGAUGAGUUGCGAACGGGUGAGUAACGCGUAGGUAACCUGCCUGGUAGCGGGGGAUAACUAUUGGAAACGAUAGCUAAUACCGCAUGACAACAGUUAUUGCAUGAUAACUGUUUAAAAGGGGCAACUGCUCCACUACCAGAUGGACCUGCGUUGUAUUAGCUAGUUGGUGAGGUAACGGCUCACCAAGGCGACGAUACAUAGCCGACCUGAGAGGGUGGUCGGCCACACUGGGACUGAGACACGGCCCAGACUCCUACGGGAGGCAGCAGUAGGGAAUCUUCGGCAAUGGACGGAAGUCUGACCGAGCAACGCCGCGUGAGUGAAGAAGGUUUUCGGAUCGUAAAGCUCUGUUGUAAGAGAAGAACGAGUGUGAGAGUGGAAAGUUCACACUGUGACGGUAUCUUACCAGAAAGGGACGGCUAACUACGUG